UGUGUUAUAACUCCCCUGCCGAACCAGGUGGCCCCGAAAAUGGAUGACGCUCAAGCAUAUGACUUACACUCGACCGUGCGCACGAGCGGCGUGUGCAUGGGUAGGAGGGCGUAGAGGCAGCGCCGAAGCCUUGGGCGUGAGCCUGGGUGGAGUGGUCUCUAGUGCAGAUCUUGGUGGAAGUAGCAAGUAUUCAAACGAGAACUUUGAAGACUGACGUGGAGAAGGGUUCCGUGUAAACAGCGUUUGGUCACGGGUAAGUCGAUCCUAAGAUCUAGGGUAGAUCCUAUCCAAAGAGAAUCGAAAGGGAAGAGGGUUAAUAUUCCCUCACCUCGGCGGGGUCCGACAGCGGUGACGCGAACGAGCUCACAGACACUCACGCCAAUCCCGGGGAGGGCUCUCGACUCUCCUUAAGUCUCCAGGAACCUUGGAGUAGGGUAAACCUGAGAAAAGGUCAUCGGAGAUGUACAACCCCAUUCAGGAUGAUGGGGUCCGGCGCAUUGGUAUGAGUCCAUGAAAAUGUGAGGGAGUGAUAGGGACUACCCCCGUAGGUCGUACCCAUAACCGCAUCAGGUCUCCAAGGUGAGUAGCCUCUAGUCGAUAGAAAAAAGUGGGUAAGGGAAUUCGGCAAAAUAGAUCUGUAACUUCGGGAUGAGGAUUGGCUCUAAUGGUCAUCCCUAUCGGUGCUGCUGCGGAGGUGCGCAGCUAAGUCUCAGGAAUCAAGUGCCUUUCCAGAGAAUCAUUAUGGUGGUUAGGGAUUACCCACACGACGCGUUGGGUCUCGGGUAGCGGCUGGCAAGGCAGACACGGCCCUGCUGGCGCCCCUCCCCUCGUGGGGUGGGAGUUAUAGUGUGCUAGAGGCUGAGCAACUCUCACCCUCCGGGGCCUGGGCUAUGCUCGUGCUUAUCCGUCUUAAUCCGGGAUCACCUCUGGGGUUCGAUAAGGGGCAUGAGAGGAACGUAACUGGCAUCGGUAGGUGGCGGGCUGAAUUAGAACUGGUGCGGACAAAGGGAAUCCGACUGUCUAAUAAAAACACAGCAUCGUGAUGGUCCUUGCGGAUGUUGACACGAUGUGAAUCCUGCCCAGUGCUCUGAUUGUCAACUUGAAGAGAUUCAAUAAAGCACGGGUAAACGGCGGGAGUAACUAUGACUCUCUU
Molecule: ribosomal RNA, 1153 nt
Filed under: Amorphochlora amoebiformis
Lineage: Eukaryota; Cercozoa; Chlorarachniophyceae
Description: partial Eukaryotic large subunit ribosomal RNA
Rfam family: Eukaryotic large subunit ribosomal RNA
Source: RNAcentral